RNAcentral lists this ribosomal RNA (468 nucleotides) under uncultured bacterium. RNAcentral describes it as "partial 16S ribosomal RNA". It matches the Rfam family "Bacterial small subunit ribosomal RNA", at positions 28 to 507 of the family's 1533-position model. The record is from RNAcentral.
GACGAACGCUGGCGGCGUGCUUAACACAUGCAAGUCGAACGGUAAGGCCCGGCUUUUGUGGUGUGCUCGAGUGGCGAACGGGUGAGUAUCACGUGUGUAACCUGCCCUUGACUUUGGGAGAACUUCAGGAAACUGGGGCUAAUACCGGGUAGGAGCUCCUGCUGCAUGGUGGGGGUUGGAAAGUUUCGGCGGUUGGGGAUGGACUCGCGGCUUAUCAGCUUGUUGGUGGGGUAGUGGCUUACCAAGGCUUUGACGGGUAGCCGGCCUGAGAGGGUGACCGGCCACAUUGGGACUGAGGUACGGCCCAGACUGCUACGGGAGGCAGCAGUGGGGAAUAUUGCACAAUGGGCGGAAGCCUGAUGCAGCAACACCGCGUGCGGGAUGACGGCCUUCGGGUUGUAAACCGCUUUCGCCUGUGACGAAGCGUGAGUGACGGUAAUGGGUAAAGAAGCACCGGCUAACUACGUG